CGGUUGAGAUCUAAUCACCCCUUAGUAUAUAAAGAAACCUCAUUUACAAAAAAAAAGAAAGAAAAAGAGGAAAAGAGAGGGAAGAAAGGGAGAAGAACCGAGAGGAAUGAGGGAUGUAACUACUAAAAUUUGGCUAAGAGAUUGAAGAGAAAUUCUGUUGAAUUAGAGAAAGAUGAAAACCAAAUGUAAAUGAAUUUUGAACUUAAAAUUUUGUGUUGGUAAUGUAUG
RNAcentral lists this long non-coding RNA (228 nucleotides) under Carica papaya (papaya). RNAcentral describes it as "long non-coding RNA (CPAP_LNC008475)". The record is from RNAcentral. Lineage: Eukaryota; Viridiplantae; Streptophyta; Magnoliopsida; Brassicales; Caricaceae.